Molecule: ribosomal RNA, 396 nt
Filed under: uncultured bacterium
Lineage: Bacteria
Description: partial 16S ribosomal RNA
Rfam family: Bacterial small subunit ribosomal RNA
Source: RNAcentral
AUACGUAGGGGGCGAGCGUUGUCCGGAAUGAUUGGGCGUAAAGGGCGCGUAGGCGGCCUGUUAAGUCUGGAGUGAAAGUCCUGUUUUCAAGAUGGGAAUUGCUUUGGAUACUGAUGGGCUUGAGUGCAGGAGAGGUUAUCGGAAUUCCCGGUGUAGCGGUGAAAUGCGUAGAGAUCGGGAGGAACACCAGUGGCGAAGGCGGGUAACUGGACUGCAACUGACGCUGAGGCGCGAAAGUGUGGGGAGCAAACAGGAUUAGAUACCCUGGUAGUCCACACUGUAAACGAUGAAUACUAGGUGUGGGGGGACUGACCCCCUCCGUGCCGCAGUUAGCACAAUAAGUAUUCCACCUGGGGAGUACGGCCGCAAGGUUGAAACUCAAAUGAAUUGGCGGGG